AAAAACAUGUCCUUUUGUUUUAAAUAUAAGGUCUGACCUGCCCAAUGAUUAUUAUUUAAUGGCCGCGGUAUAUUAACUGUGCUAAGGUAGCAUAAUCACUUGUUUAAUUGGAGGCUAGAAUGAAAGGUUGGACGAUAUAUGGACUUUCUUUAACUUAGUUUUUGAAUUUAAUUUUUUAGUUAAAAAGCUAAAAUUUAUUUGAGGGACGAGAAGACCCUAUAGAUCUUUAUAUAAGAAUAUAUUGUAUAUUUUGGAGAAUUUAUUAAAAUAAUAGAUUUUUAUAUUUGGUUGGGGCGACUGUAGAAUUUAUAUUAACUUCUAUUUUUAAGUUUCAUAAAUUAAUGUUUUUUUGAUCCAUUUAUAAUGAUUAAAAGAUUAAGUUACCUUAGGGAUAACAGCGUAAUUUCUUUGGAGAGUUCUUAUCGAUAAAGGAGUUUGCGACCUCGAUGUUGGAUUAAAAUAAGUUUUAGGUGUAGGAGCUUAAUUACUAGGUCUGUUCGACCUUUAAUGUUUUACAUGAUCUGA
RNAcentral lists this ribosomal RNA (525 nucleotides) under Havinthus sp. 00001515. RNAcentral's name for it is "partial 16S ribosomal RNA". It matches the Rfam family "Bacterial large subunit ribosomal RNA", at positions 1809 to 2608 of the family's 2925-position model. Lineage: Eukaryota; Metazoa; Arthropoda; Insecta; Hemiptera; Reduviidae. The record is from RNAcentral.